UAGUCUGGGAAACUGCCUGAUGGAGGGGGAUAACUACUGGAAACGGUAGCUAAUACCGCAUAAUGUCGCAAGACCAAAGUGCGGGACCUUCGGGCCUCAUGCCAUCAGAUGUGCCCAGAUGGGAUUAGCUAGUAGGUGGGGUAACGGCUCACCUAGGCGACGAUCCCUAGCUGGUCUGAGAGGAUGACCAGCCACACUGGAACUGAGACACGGUCCAG
This 218-nucleotide ribosomal RNA is filed under the name uncultured bacterium. RNAcentral's name for it is "partial 16S ribosomal RNA". It matches the Rfam family "Bacterial small subunit ribosomal RNA", at positions 113 to 334 of the family's 1533-position model. The record is from RNAcentral.